This 406-nucleotide ribosomal RNA is filed under the name uncultured bacterium. Its description in RNAcentral is "partial 16S ribosomal RNA". It matches the Rfam family "Bacterial small subunit ribosomal RNA", at positions 30 to 526 of the family's 1533-position model. The record is from RNAcentral.
AUUGAACGCUGGCGGCAUGCUUUACACAUGCAAGUCGGACGAGUGGCGAACGGGUGAGUAACGCAUCGGAACGUACCGAGUAAUGGGGGAUAACUGUCCGAAAGGACAGCUAAUACCGCAUAUUAUUCGAGCGGCCGAUGUCUGAUUAGCUGGUUGGCGGGGUAAAGGCCCACCAAGGCGACGAUCAGUAGCGGGUCUGAGAGGAUGAUCCGCCACACUGGGACUGAGACACGGCCCAGACUCCUACGGGAGGCAGCAGUGGGGAAUAUUGGACAAUGGGCGAAAGCCUGAUCCAGCCAUGCCGCGUGUGUGAAGAAGGUCUUCGGAUUGUAAAGCACUUUAAGUUGGGAGGCGUUACCAACAGAAUAAGCACCGGCUAACUUCGUGCCAGCAGCCGCGGUAAUAC